Molecule: ribosomal RNA, 310 nt
Filed under: Misgolas hubbardi
Lineage: Eukaryota; Metazoa; Arthropoda; Arachnida; Araneae; Idiopidae
Description: partial 12S ribosomal RNA
Source: RNAcentral
AGGUAGUACUUUUGAAGAAACCUAUGCUCUUUGACGGCCCUUUUUCUCAUUAAAGGAACUUGUUAUUUUUCGAAAAUACCCGUUUAUUUUUACUCUUUUUUAGCCUUUAUACCGCCGUCUUAAGAAUUUGUUUUCAUAUAUCUUCGAAAUAGUUAUUUCUAAAAAGUCAGGUCAAGGUGAAGCUUUAAUUCAGGUUAUAAUAAGUUAUCUAUUAAAAAAAUUAAUGGAGAUUAGAUUAAAAUCUUUUUCAAUUAAGAUUUAAAAGUAUAAAUUUAAUAAUAAUUUAUUUAGAAUUAGUAAAAAAGGGUGA